Molecule: unclassified non-coding RNA, 334 nt
Filed under: soil metagenome
Description: partial contains 5.8S ribosomal RNA, internal transcribed spacer 2, and large subunit ribosomal RNA
Rfam family: 5.8S ribosomal RNA (bases 1-120)
Source: RNAcentral
GAUGAAGAACGUAGUGAAAUGCGAUAAGUAAUGUGAAUUGCAGAAUUCAGUGAAUCAUCGAAUCUUUGAACGCACAUUGCGCCCAUUAGUAUUCUAGUGGGCAUGCCUGUUCGAGCGUCAUUUCAACCCUUAAGCCUAGCUUAGUAUUGGGAAUCGACUUUACUGUCGCUCCUCAAAUUCAACGGCGGAUUUAUAGCAAUCUCUGAACGUAGUAAUUUUUUUUCUCGUUUUUGAAAUACUAUAAACCUCGGCCGCUAAACCCCCAAUUUCUUAUGGUUGACCUCGGAUCAGGUAGGAAUACCCGCUGAACUUAAGCAUAUCAAUAAGCGGAGGA